This 1430-nucleotide ribosomal RNA is filed under the name uncultured organism. Its description in RNAcentral is "16S ribosomal RNA". It matches the Rfam family "Bacterial small subunit ribosomal RNA". The record is from RNAcentral.
CAGGCUUAACACAUGCAAGUCGAGGGGCAGCAUGGUCUUAGCUUGCUAAGGCCGAUGGCGACCGGCGCACGGGUGAGUAACACGUAUCCAACCUGCCGUCUACUCUUGGACAGCCUUCUGAAAGGAAGAUUAAUACAAGAUGGCAUCAUGAGUCCGCAUGUUCACAUGAUUAAAGGUGUUCCGGUAGACGAUGGGGAUGCGUUCCAUUAGAUAGUAGGCGGGGUAACGGCCCACCUAGUCUUCGAUGGAUAGGGGUUCUGAGAGGAAGGUCCCCCACAUUGGAACUGAGACACGGUCCAAACUCCUACGGGAGGCAGCAGUGAGGAAUAUUGGUCAAUGGGCGAGAGCCUGAACCAGCCAAGUAGCGUGAAGGAUGACUGCCCUAUGGGUUGUAAACUUCUUUUAUAAAGGAAUAAAGUCGGGUAUGCAUACCCGUUUGCAUGUACUUUAUGAAUAAGGAUCGGCUAACUCCGUGCCAGCAGCCGCGGUAAUACGGAGGAUCCGAGCGUUAUCCGGAUUUAUUGGGUUUAAAGGGAGCGUAGAUGGAUGUUUAAGUCAGUUGUGAAAGUUUGCGGCUCAACCGUAAAAUUGCAGUUGAUACUGGAUAUCUUGAGUGCAGUUGAGGCAGGCGGAAUUCGUGGUGUAGCGGUGAAAUGCUUAGAUAUCACGAAGAACUCCGAUUGCGAAGGCAGCCUGCUAAGCUGCAACUGACAUUGAGGCUCGAAAGUGUGGGUAUCAAACAGGAUUAGAUACCCUGGUAGUCCACACGGUAAACGAUGAAUACUCGCUGCUUGCGAUAUACGGCAAGCGGCCAAGCGAAAGCGUUAAGUAUUCCACCUGGGGAGUACGCCGGCAACGGUGAAACUCAAAGGAUUGACGGGGGCCCGCACAAGCGGAGGAACAUGUGGUUUAAUUCGAUGAUACGCGAGGAACCUUACCCGGGCUUAAAUUGCAGAUGAAUUACGGUGAAAGCCGUAAGCCGCAAGGCAUCUGUGAAGGUGCUGCAUGGUUGUCGUCAGCUCGUGCCGUGAGGUGUCGGCUUAAGUGCCAUAACGAGCGCAACCCUUGUUGUCAGUUACUAACAGGUCAUGCUGAGGACUCUGACAAGACUGCCAUCGUAAGAUGUGAGGAAGGUGGGGAUGACGUCAAAUCAGCACGGCCCUUACGUCCGGGGCUACACACGUGUUACAAUGGGGGGUACAGAGGGCCGCUACCACGCGAGUGGAUGCCAAUCCCAAAAACCUCUCUCAGUUCGGACUGGAGUCUGCAACCCGACUCCACGAAGCUGGAUUCGAUAGUAAUCGUGCAUCAGCCACGGCGCGGUGAAUACGUUCCCGGGCCUUGUACACUCCGCCCGUCAAGCCAUGGGAGCCGGGGGUACCUGAAGUGCGUAUCCGCGAGGAGCGCCCUAGGGUAAAAUUGGUGACUGG